AUGUCCAAGGAUGGGCCAUCUCACAAGCCUAAGAUCCCAGACAGCAGGGCGAGAUGUGUGGAUGACACCCACAGACCAGACAUUGGUCUCUCCCUCAACUCUGCACAGGAGCUGGGCUCUGAGGUGCAGGGACGCGGGGUCUGGGCCCUCACAGGACUGGACAGGAGGUCUGGGCCCUCACGGGGCUGGGACACGGGCCUGGGGCAGCCAUGUCCCCCACCACACUCUCUUGGUACUUCCUCUCUUGCAGCCAGCACCACAGCCCCAUCCGUCUUCCCCUUGGCUCCCAGCUGUGGAGUCAGUUCUGGCUCCACGGCGUCCCUGGGCUGCCUGGUCAGCGGCUUCUUCCCCGAGCUGGUCACCGUGUCAUGGAAGUCCGGAGCGGCCGAGUUGACCAGCGGUGUGCGCACCUUCCCAUCUGUUCUGAAGUCAGGGCUCUACUCGCUCAACAGCAUGGUGACGGUGUCCUCCAGCACCUGGCCCAGCCAGACUGUCACCUGCCAUGUAGUCCACCCGGCCAGCAACACCAAGGUGGACAAGACCAUUGAGCCCAGGUCUUCGGAGCCCCCCUUGCCAAGAUGCCAUUGCCCAAAACCUGCGUGCGACAUUGGACCAUUUGUCCUCAUCUUCCCUCCAAACCCAAAGGACACACUCAUGAUCUCCCAAGACCCCAAGGUCACCUGUGUGGUGGGAGACGUGAGCCGGGAUAACCCAGAGGUCGAGAUCACCUGGUUCAUAGACAAUGUGGAGGUACACGAGGCCCAGACGCUGCCCCCAGAACAGCAGUACAACAGCACACUCCAAGUGGUCAGCGUCCUGCCCAUCCAGCACCAAGACUGGCUGUCAGGAAAGGAGUUCAAGUGCAAAGUCAAGAACAAGGACCUCCCAGCCCCCAUAGAGAAAACCAUCUCCAAAGUCAAAGGGCAAGCCCGAGAGCCACAAGUGUAUGUCUUGCCACCACCGAGAGAGCAGAUGACCAACCCAAAGCUCAGCCUGACCUGCUUGGCACAAGGGUUCUACCCUGAGGAUAUCUUUGUGGAAUGGAGGAGCAAUGGCCAGCCAGAGGAGAACUACAAGAGCACCUCGCUCGUCUUGGACUCCGAUGGGUCCUACUUCCUCUACAGCAAGCUGCCAGUAGACAAGAGCAGGUGGGAGAGAGGAGACAGCUUCACCUGCUCUGUGAUGCACGAGGCCCUGCACAACCACUUCACGCAGAAGACCAUCUCCCGGUCUCCGGGUAAAUGAGAGCUGGGCCUCAGCAGCCGGUGCCUCCCUCUGGGCCUCGGUCCACAGGAGGCUGGCACCUGCCACCCCUCCCCAUGUAAAUAAAGCACCCAGUGAAGCCUGGGACCUGCGAGGA
Molecule: non-coding RNA, 1360 nt
Organism: Dipodomys spectabilis (banner-tailed kangaroo rat)
Lineage: Eukaryota; Metazoa; Chordata; Mammalia; Rodentia; Heteromyidae
Source: the annotation of a RefSeq genome assembly